AAGGCGUUUGGCCAGGUAGAGACCGCUGGUGUGCCUCAUUGGCCUGGUGUCUCAUAAUCCCUUGGUCGCGGGUUCGAGUCCCGCCCGCCCUACC
This 94-nucleotide transfer RNA is filed under the name Planobispora rosea. RNAcentral describes it as "tRNA-Gly". The record is from RNAcentral. Lineage: Bacteria; Bacillati; Actinomycetota; Actinomycetes; Streptosporangiales; Streptosporangiaceae.